CCUACGGGUGGCAGCAGUGAGGAAUAUUGGUCAAUGGGCGCGAGCCUGAUCCAGCCAAGUAGCGUGAAGGAUGACUGCCCUACGGGUUGUAAACUUCUUUUAUAAAGGAAUAACGUGAGGCACGGGUGCCUUUUUGUAUGUACUUUAUGAAUAAGGAUCGGCUAACUACGUCGCAGCAGCAGCGGUAAUACGGAGGAUCCGAGCGUUAUCCGGAUUUAUUGGGUUUAAAGGGAGCGUAGAUGGGUUUUUAAGUAAGUUGGGAAAGUCUGCGGCUCAACCGUAAAAUUGCAAUUGAUACUGGCAGUCUUGAGUACAGUUGAGGUAGGCGGAAUUCGUGGUGUAGCGGUGAAAUGCUUAGAUAUCACGAAGAACUCCGAUUGCGAAGGCAGCUUACUAAACUGCCACUGACAUUGAUGCUCGAAAGUGUGGGUAUCAAACAGGAGUAGAUACCCCGGUAGUC
Molecule: ribosomal RNA, 460 nt
Filed under: uncultured bacterium
Lineage: Bacteria
Description: partial 16S ribosomal RNA
Rfam family: Bacterial small subunit ribosomal RNA
Source: RNAcentral